GACGAACGCUGGCGGCGUGCUUAACACAUGCAAGUCGAACGGUGAAGCGCCUUCCUUUUUGGUGGGUGUGGAUGAGUGGCGAACGGGUGAGUAACACGUGAGUAACCUGCCCCCUUCUUCUGGAUAACCGCAUGAAAGUGUGGCUAAUACGGGAUAUUCUGGGUCUGUCGCAUGAUGGGUCUGGGAAAGAUAUUGUUUCGGUGGGGGAUGGGCUCGCGGCCUAUCAGCUUGUUGGUGGGGUGAUGGCCUACCAAGGCGGUGACGGGUAGCCGGCCUGAGAGGGUGGACGGUCACACUGGGACUGAGCCACGGCCCAGACUCCUACGGGAGGCAGCAGUGGGGAAUAGUGCACAAUGGGCGCAAGCCUGAUGCAGCGACGCCGCGUGAGGGAUGGAGGCCUUCGGGUUGUGAACCUCUUUCGCCAGUGAAGCAGGCCUGCCUCGUUUGUGGGUGGGUUGACGGUAGCUGGAUAAGAAGCGCCGGCUAACUACGUG
RNAcentral lists this ribosomal RNA (494 nucleotides) under uncultured bacterium. Its description in RNAcentral is "partial 16S ribosomal RNA". It matches the Rfam family "Bacterial small subunit ribosomal RNA", at positions 28 to 507 of the family's 1533-position model. The record is from RNAcentral.